Molecule: ribosomal RNA, 164 nt
Filed under: Dendrobium hainanense
Lineage: Eukaryota; Viridiplantae; Streptophyta; Magnoliopsida; Asparagales; Orchidaceae
Description: 5.8S ribosomal RNA
Rfam family: 5.8S ribosomal RNA
About the family: 5.8S ribosomal RNA (5.8S rRNA) is a component of the large subunit of the eukaryotic ribosome. It is transcribed by RNA polymerase I as part of the 45S precursor that also contains 18S and 28S rRNA.
Source: RNAcentral
GACAUGACUCUCGACAAUGGAUAUCUCGGCUCUUGCAUCGAUGAAGAGCGCAGCGAAAUGCGAUACGUGGUGCGAAUUGCAGAAUCCCGCGAACCAUCGAGUCUUUGAACGCAAGUUGCGCCCGAGGCCAACCAGCCAAGGGCACGUCCGACUGGGCGUCAAGC